RNAcentral lists this ribosomal RNA (468 nucleotides) under uncultured bacterium. Its description in RNAcentral is "partial 16S ribosomal RNA". It matches the Rfam family "Bacterial small subunit ribosomal RNA", at positions 28 to 507 of the family's 1533-position model. The record is from RNAcentral.
GACGAACGCUGGCGGCGUGCUUAACACAUGCAAGUCGAACGGAAAGGCCCUGCUUUUGUGGGGUGCUCGAGUGGCGAACGGGUGAGUAACACGUGAGUAACCUGCCCUUGACUUUGGGAUAACUUCAGGAAACUGGGGCUAAUACCGGAUAGGAGCUCCUGCUGCAUGGUGGGGGUUGGAAAGUUUCGGCGGUUGGGGAUGGACUCGCGGCUUAUCAGCUUGUUGGUGGGGUAGUGGCUUACCAAGGCUUUGACGGGUAGCCGGCCUGAGAGGGUGACCGGCCACAUUGGGACUGAGAUACGGCCCAGACUCCUACGGGAGGCAGCAGUGGGGAAUAUUGCACAAUGGGCGGAAGCCUGAUGCAGCAACGCCGCGUGCGGGAUGACGGCCUUCGGGUUGUAAACAGCUUUCGCCUGUGACGAAGCGUGGGUGACGGUAAUGGGUAAAGAAGCACCGGCUAACUACGUG